This 499-nucleotide ribosomal RNA is filed under the name uncultured bacterium. RNAcentral describes it as "partial 16S ribosomal RNA". It matches the Rfam family "Bacterial small subunit ribosomal RNA", at positions 29 to 507 of the family's 1533-position model. The record is from RNAcentral.
ACGAACGCUGGCGGCGUGCCUAAUACAUGCAAGUCGAGCGGACUGAUUAAGAGCUUGCUCUUAUGACGUUAGCGGCGGACGGGUGAGUAACACGUGGGCAACCUGCCCUGUAGAUCGGGAUAACACCGAGAAAUCGGUGCUAAUACCGGGUAAUAUCUGAGAUCACAUGAUCUUAGGUUAAAAGAUGGCUCCGGCUAUCACUACAGGAUGGGCCCGCGGCGCAUUAGCUAGUUGGUAAGGUAAUGGCUUACCAAGGCGGCGAUGCGUAGCCGACCUGAGAGGGUGAUCGGCCACACUGGGACUGAGACACGGCCCAGACUCCUACGGGAGGCAGCAGUAGGGAAUCUUCCGCAAUGGACGAAAGUCUGACGGAGCAACGCCGCGUGAGUGAUGAAGGGUUUCGGCUCGUAAAGCUCUGUUGUUAGGGAAGAAACAGUACCGAACGAACUAGGUCGGUACCUUGACGGUACCUAACCAGAAAGCCACGGCUAACUACGUG